AUACGGAGGGUGCAAGCGUUAUCGGGAAUCAUUGGGUUUAAAGGGUCCGUAGGCGGGCAAAUAAGUCAGAGGUGAAAUCCCACAGCUCAACUGUGGAACUGCCUUUGAUACUGUUUGUCUUGAGUUAUAGUGAAGUAGAUAGAAUAUGUAGUGUAGCGGUGAAAUGCAUAGAUAUUACAUAGAAUACCGAUUGCGAAGGCAGUCUACUAACUAUACACUGACGCUAAUGGACGAAAGCGUGGGGAGCGAACAGGAUUAGAAACCCGAGUAGUCC
This 274-nucleotide ribosomal RNA is filed under the name uncultured bacterium. RNAcentral describes it as "partial 16S ribosomal RNA". It matches the Rfam family "Bacterial small subunit ribosomal RNA", at positions 523 to 796 of the family's 1533-position model. The record is from RNAcentral.